Molecule: ribosomal RNA, 429 nt
Filed under: Pseudomonadota bacterium
Lineage: Bacteria; Pseudomonadati; Pseudomonadota
Description: Proteobacteria bacterium partial 16S ribosomal RNA
Rfam family: Bacterial small subunit ribosomal RNA
Source: RNAcentral
UGGGGAAUAUUGGACAAUGGGCGAAAGCCUGAUCCAGCCAUUCCGCGUGUGUGAAGAAGGUCUUUGGAUUGUAAAGCAUUUUAAGUUGGGAGGAAGGGCAGUAAGCGAAUACCUUGCUGUUUUGACGUUACCGACAGAAUAAGCACCGGCUAACUCUGUGCCAGCAGCCGCGGUAAUACAGAGGGUGCGAGCGUUAAUCGGAUUUACUGGGCGUAAGGCGUGCGUAGGCGGCUAAUUGAGUCGGAUGUGAAAUCCCCGAGCUUAACUUGGUAAUUGCAUUCGAUACUGGUUAGCUAGAGUGUGGGGGAGGAUGGUAGAGUUCCAGGUGUAGCGGUGAAAUGCGUAGAGAGCUGGAGGAAUACCGAUGACGAAGGCAGCCAUCUGGCCUAACACUGACGCUGAGGUACGAAAGAAUGGAGAGCAAACAGG